Long non-coding RNA from Acanthopagrus latus (yellowfin seabream), 3610 nucleotides. RefSeq lists it as uncharacterized. Lineage: Eukaryota; Metazoa; Chordata; Actinopteri; Spariformes; Sparidae. The record is from RefSeq and is a predicted model, not a curated record. The transcript has 2 exons.
GGAAGCAGAAACUACAGAAGCAGCGAAAUUAAAAAAAAAUUAACAUUAUCGAUUGUUCCCUUUAGGCCGAUUGUUUUACCUCAAAGAGUCAUCGCCAUAACCUACAUGACACUCAAAAAAUUCAGAUAUUGCAUGUCCCCUCAGGGAAUGACAGAAAAUGUACGAGAGCUUACAAUAAGCCUGUCAGCUAAAUCUGUUUUUGUUAGCUUCAGUAUGAGUUGAGCUAAGUUCACCAUCAUAAGUUGAUCUGGCAACUUUCCCAGUUUGGUUAUGUGCAAAAACUUACAGUAAAUGUAGACUUUGAACAAGAUUUUACAAGUCUUACUCAAUGGAUUAAGCAUUUCUGUUGACCAAACCAGAGGGGCUCCUGGAAAGACAAACCAAGACUGUUUUGGCCCAGAUCUCCCCUCAGAGCCCCACCGCCCCCAGUGCCAAACCACCGGCAGGACACGGCAGAGCGGCUGACAGAGGAAGGAAAGAGCGGUGAGUGAGUGUGUGUGAAAACACUGCGUGCCUCAGUGGUUUCGCCACAGACGUUCAUUGUGAUGCUUUUAAGUUUCUUACAAGCAAAGACUAUAAUUUGUGUUUUAAUAAAUGUGGAAAAAAAGGUGCUAAAGUUGGAGUUUUCCCCUCGUUUUCCAAUUGAAAUGUAUUGAACAGCUCACAGUUGGCUGGAAAUAAAAUCUCAGGACUGGAAAAUGGGCGUUAUUUCUUCCUUUAAGCUGCAGUUUGACCUCUAGGGGAAACACGCUUUUGGAUUCUUGCUGUACGAUAGAUAAGAACAUUAAUGCCACUCAUAUCUACCUGGUACAUAUAGGGUGAAAGCCCAGCAGCAGCUGGUUAGCUUAGCAAAAGACUGGACGUGAGGUAACAGUUAGCCUGUUGCUAUCUAAGGCUAACAAAUCCACCUACCAGAAGCUAGAAAGCUGACUAAUGAACGUGUUAAUUCUCAUCUAAUCUGUACAAAAACUAAAGAGUUUGUCAGCUGGUUACAUGCAGGACUAUUAUUAUACUGGUUUUAAGCUGAGACAACCCCCAGCCUUAUAUUUCACUGACACAAAUGAGUGGCAGUAAUCUUCUCAUCAAAACCUCAAUGAAGAAGUGAAAAAGUUUCCUUUUUUUUCUUUUACACAUUUUUAAACUUGACAAAACAAUUAUCAAUAUCAAUAAAUACAGUGGCUUUAUUUACACCAUGUCUUGUUAGGCUGUUAAAGAUGCACUAUGUCAUGUAAGGGAAUAAAUUCAAUCAGACGUCUUUAGUUAUUGAUUUUCCUUACUGAAUAAACUAAAUGAACCACCUUUAAAGUGGUUAAGCACUUUUCUGGGGAGCUUAUUUCCCUCUGAGGAAAGCUUGUUUAUUCAGUUAUAGAGUACCAUUCAUUGAAUGAACAUUUCUGGGUUUGUGUUAUUACCAUAUUAGUUUUGUAAAUAUUACUUUUCUCAGUUCCAAUUUAUUUUCCCAAACCACAUAGAGCACCUUAAAUCCUUAGCAGCUUCAAUGUUAUGAUGAAACAUAAUAUUACAACAGCAAAACAUUAAAUUGAAUUAGAAUAAACUACCACAUGACUAACGAUUGUAUGUGAUCAGAACAUGUUAAGGCAUCCGAUUCAGUCACUCUGAAUGAGCUUCGUUUUCCCCACAGGCAUGAACCGAGUAUAGUGAGCUCAGAGAAAGAGAAAGCUCACACUAACUCAACUGACAUUUAGAGUCUGUAAUUUGUUGAUAUUUGAGACUGUAUUUAUCUAUUUCUUUUGCAAACCACAGUUUGUCUUACUGUAGAGUCUCAGAUUUAAUCUCUUCCUCGUUCUCCAGCGGAGCACACUCGCCAUCACUUGGCUCUAAAAGGUUGAGAUUGGCCUGCACUGCCACCAGUUUCUGCGCCCUGUCUGCUGAGAUGGAACAUGGCAUCUUUGUGCUGCAAAAGCGUGACCGCACGCUCUCGCAGGCACCUGCUGUCGGUGGGAUCUGGAGUAUUGCGGAGGCCACGGCGGAUAGCGGCUCGGAGGAACACAGCCCUUUCCACCAGGUGGAUGCCGACACGUGCUGACAUGAGCUCCAAAUCCCGACCCCCUUCCACAGUCCCUCCUUGGCUGAGAACCUGGCAAAACUCCCGAGCACCUUACCAUCGUCGAGAUUUAGCUGGUGUGACAGGUUGGAUAUCACGUAGUAAGCGCCGUUUAUCUGCUCCCCGGAGAGCGUCUGCUGGCCGGCGUGCUUUGGAUCCAGCAUGUACGCCGCUGCGUGGAUGGGUUUCAUGCAAAACUCCUGACACCUGUCUAAUGACGCCAUGACUGCUUUCUGUUCGGCACUGUGCAGCACAGACUCGGACAGCGACGCUCCCACGUAAUGCCUUAACUGAAUGAACACAUCAACAACAUCAGAGAGUGUGCUCUCUUCUCUCUUCAUGUAACUAAUAUAAUUCCCGAUUGAGUACAGCAGGUUCUGACUGCUGCUCAACCCUUUCCAAAAUGCUGCGUCCUGUACUGUGGCCCUGAAGGAAGCCUCAACGUCCAGUGUGGGUGACACGGCCAUGUCUUGUAGAGCGUCCUGACCCUCCAGGAGGCUGUUGAGCAUGUUAAUCACGCCAGUCCAGUCAGAACAACUAUUCAGCACCAAGGUUGUCCCAGUAGUGCGGUGGUUUCUGGUCUUUGUGGUCUGCCAGCAUCUGAAAGUCUCCGCUAACAUUUUUUGCUCUGUCACAUACCUCACCACCUGCUCAGCUCUUGUGCACAGAUCUUUAACAGACGGCUGUGCGAGCACGUCAUCAAAGAGCCGCUGGACUCCACACGCUGUGCAGCCGAUAGUCGAUAUGUGCGGGAAGGCCUCCUCCACUUGACCCCAUGCUGCCGUCAUUUCCGGGGUGUCAUCAGUGACAACGGCGAAGACCUUCUGCGGCCCCACUUCAUUUAUGAUGUCUUUCAGUUCCUCCGUGAUAAAUGUGCUCUGGUGCAUCUGCUCUUUUGUGUUUGUGCAUUUGUAGAGCAGUGGUUCAGGAGUUGCAACAAUAUAAAUUAUAGUUCUGGUGUCUUUUGCUUUAGACCAGCCGCUGCUGCAAAUGAUAGUGACACAGGCAGCUUUCCCUACGGCCUCCUGAACCUGGCUUUGUACUCUGUCAUGCUCACAGUCCAAGAGGUGAGAGGACAAAGCCUCUCUGGUGGGCGGACAGUAAGCGGGUCGGAGCACGCUGAAAAAUCGUUUCCAGUAGAUAUUGUCCGUGAGCGUGAGAGGUGAGGACGUGGCAUACACAGCUCUCGCCAGGCACUCGUCAGCAUACGCCUGGCUGCGCUGAUCCACCGAAUCAAUGAGGAACUGUCCCCCCGGACUGGCAGAUGGUAAGAGGGAGAAGGAGGGGACAGGAAUGGAGGCAGAGGAGCUCCCAUCAGGUCCUGGUGACUGCUGCGAAGCCACAGAGUACUCCUCACACUUGUUCAAGUGUAUCUGCAUCUUAGUGGCAUUCUUCGUGUAUGUCUUCAAACAGUAGUUGCACAUGUAGGUUUCCUUCCCGUCUUUGAUUGCCGGGGUGAAAUGCUUCCAAACCCCAGACUGCAAGCGUGGCAUCGUCCUGUGAGAAGUCAAAUGGAGAAAAUAAAAAAUUAUAUCUGAAAUUAUA